This 1030-nucleotide small RNA is filed under the name Mycoplasma vulturii. Its description in RNAcentral is "bacterial LSU rRNA". The stretch from base 530 to 1030 matches the Rfam family "Bacterial large subunit ribosomal RNA", at positions 1 to 497 of the family's 2925-position model. Lineage: Bacteria; Bacillati; Mycoplasmatota; Mollicutes; Mycoplasmatales; Mycoplasmataceae. The record is from RNAcentral.
CCGCCCGUCACACCAUGGGAGCUGAUAAUGCCCAAAGUUGGUUAACUAACCUGAAAAAUUUAUUUUUAAGGAAGAAACUGCCUAAGGUAGGAUCGGUGACUGGGGUGAAGUCGUAACAAGGUAUCCCUACGAGAACGUGGGGAUGGAUCACCUCCUUUCUACGGAGUACAUUUUUUUCAUAAUUUUUAGUGAAAAACCUUUUUAUUUUUUUAUAUAGUUAAAUUAAAUUUGUUGAAACGAGAGUUGAAACGAGAGUCAAAAUUUUUUUUAACGAAAAUUAAAAAAAAUUAAAAAUUUGAAAAUUAUUUUUUUUAAAUAAUUUUAAAAUUUUGAUUUGAUUUAUAUUUGUAAUUUAUGUAUACAGUUUUCAGAGAUUUAUGAUCUCUGAAUUAAAAUAUUAGCUCUUUGAAAACUGGAUUCUAAACAUUAAUAUGAGUUUUAUAAUAAAACAUCCAACAUAAAAAAUGUUUUGAUCAACCUAAGAAUAAACAUAUAACAAUAGGCAAUUAAAUUAAUUUUGAAAUUAAUUUAUUAAAUAAGCAAGAGUUUUUGGUGGAUGCCUUGGGUCUGAAAGUCGAUGAAGGACGUGAUAACCUGCGAAAAGCCUCGUGGAGUUGGAAAUACACUAUGAUACGGGGAUGUCCGAAUGGGGAAACCUAACUAGUCUAACCACUAGUUACUUUAUAAUGAAUAAAUAGUUAUAAAGAGAGAUACGUUGUGAACUGAAACAUCUUAGUAACAACAGGAAAAGAUAAUAAAAUUAAUUAUUUCCUUAGUAGUGGCGAGCGAAACGGAAAGAGCCCAAACCAUUUUUACAAUGGGGUUGUAGGAGUAGACUAUAUAAAGUUACAAAAUUUAAAUAUAGCAGAAUAACUUGGAAAGGUUAAACGUAGAGGGUGAUAUUCCCGUAUGCGAAAUAUUUAAAUCUUUUGUCUACCACCUGAGUAGGGCGGGGCACGUGAAACCCUGUCUGAAUCUACCAGGACCACCUGGUAAGGCUAAAUACUAAUCAGACACCGAUAGCGAACUA